Molecule: long non-coding RNA, 1531 nt
Filed under: Anas platyrhynchos (mallard)
Lineage: Eukaryota; Metazoa; Chordata; Aves; Anseriformes; Anatidae
Description: lncRNA (ENSAPLG00020016997.1)
Source: RNAcentral
AUUCCUCUGCAUGCAUAAAGAUCCCGUAUAACCAAAUGCAAGCUCUUUGAAAAGAACGUUGUUUACUUCUUGGAGUAGAGCAGCCUGCAGGAUUGGAAAGCCCGUAAUGUCGUGUUGGAGGAACUUGGCACGUUUCUGGUGAUAGGGAGACAGGGAUCUCAGGGAGUACAAUUCUGGAGCUGUAAGAUGGUUGUGAAUGGCAAAUGGGUCCUGUGCAGGGCAAGGAAGGAAUGCAUCUAUUCACUGCUCUUGUCCCUCCUACGCAGCCUCUCUGAGGGCUCGGCGUUCCCUGUGGUGUCCUAGGGAAUGGCAAGCAUUAACAAACAGCACCCAUUUAUUUGUACUGCUGAGCAUUUGCAUCUUCAAGGACUUACAGGUGUGUCCAGCGCUCCAAACCCAUCCUGUAAUUUCAGAUGUAGUUUUGAGAAGCUGGAGACACACCCUGGUUUGCUCAGUCAAAAGCAGCCCUCUACAGCUGGAGACCUGCGCACUGAGGACGCAGCAACCAGCAGCUGGAAGGUGAGUGCCACCAGUAAUCCUCCAAGCAGGGCUCUGCAAACUGAUACUGUCUUCUCCCGGAGAGGAAUCUAGCUUAACUAUCUGAAUUAUCUCAUGCAAUGAAGUGUUUUGCCAGACUUAGCAGACCCUCAAUAGCUCUGUGUGCUUUGGAUCCAGUUUCAGAUAGGUUUUGUGAAGCGUGUUGAUAUGUGUGAGAUUGUUUGCAAGAUAGUUAUUUGAACGAGCACCUUUCAACUCUCCUAUUUUUAUUUUCGUAGUUAAGUAUUAUUCAUAUUCGAUUUUUCUUGGCUGAAAUAAGGUGAUUCCUUGUGUGCAUGGGCACCCUAAAGACCUCUGCAGAAAUGUUACCUUUGCUCCCGCGGCUUGGCUUCCUCCUUUUUGGUUGGUUGGCUGGCAGCUGAUCCAGCUUCUGCUGAGAGAUACCUGUGCUCCAGCUCCCCUGUCAAUGAAACUGCCGUGUGUGCUUCAGUGAAAAGUCUCCCAGACAAAUUCGUUUGCUACCUGAGCCCCUCUGCAGUGAGCAACCUGAGCAGAGACGAGGCUUUAAGCUUGGCCCGCAGGAUCACCAAGAACUGCCCGUUGAAAGUGACACACAGAGGAAUAAACGGAGAGCGAGCUCCCUCCUUCCUGACAACAGAGGAACUGCAGGUUGCAUCUUCUUUGGUGAGCAAGUUUGAGCAUUUCACUCCUGCAAUCCUGCGUGAAUUGGGCCAGGUUGCUGUUGGGCUGUCUGUAUCCGACAUCGAAAAUAAAAUAAGUGAUGAAGACCUUGAAGCAUCUCUUCCUGCCCUGGGUGAAGUUCGUGGCUGGAAUGCUGACCAGUCCAGUGCUAUUAUCAAUAAACUGCUCCGCUCUGGCUAUCAGAUUUCAGAUGGACAGAGCCUGGCAAAGCUGGGGAGCUUGGUGGCUGGCCUCAGCAGCAGCACGCUUCGAAGUCUCCCUCCAGAAGUGAUCUUGGAAGCCAUUAAGUUGCCUGAGUUUGUCCAGCAGUUGGUGACCCUGCCCUCUGCUC